This is a long non-coding RNA of Scylla paramamosain (green mud crab), 269 nucleotides long. RefSeq lists it as uncharacterized. The record is from RefSeq and is a predicted model, not a curated record. The transcript has 3 exons. Lineage: Eukaryota; Metazoa; Arthropoda; Malacostraca; Decapoda; Portunidae.
AGGACGAGGAGAAGGAACCCAGGCUGGAGACACGCCCUUCCCUUCCCUCCUGGACUUGAUGGCCUUAAUGAGGAUGCGGCAGCGAGCGUUCUGAGCCUGAGGAAGUCCUGCGAGGCGAAGCGGAAUGAGGAGUUGGUCUUUGGUCAGUCUUCCAAAGGGGAAGUGCUGGUCACUACAAACUGGCGUCAGGAUGAAAGAAAAUGGAGAACAAGAGAACGUGUCAGUAUGGGGAGGUUGUGUUGGAAAAAUAGCAAAAAGUCAGCACUGCU